UUUAAGCGCAACCAUGAGUUUUCGUGCCUAACUUUGAUCGUCCGUUUUAUUUGAUUUUUUUUAUAAUUAGUAUCUUUAUUGUUAUAAGAUGAUAAAGUAUGAAUAGUACUUUAUACGUGACUUAUGUUUCAAAUUUUUUUCAAUUUUUUUUAAAUAAGACGGACGGUAAAAGUUGGACACGGAAAAUCAUGGUUACAUUUAAA
Oryza sativa Japonica Group (Japanese rice) is the source of this 203-nucleotide microRNA precursor. It matches the Rfam family "MIR812 microRNA precursor family". NCBI's taxonomy places the organism in Eukaryota, Viridiplantae, Streptophyta, Magnoliopsida, Poales, Poaceae. The record is from Rfam.